Molecule: ribosomal RNA, 489 nt
Filed under: uncultured bacterium
Lineage: Bacteria
Description: partial 16S ribosomal RNA
Rfam family: Bacterial small subunit ribosomal RNA
Source: RNAcentral
AUUGAACGCUGGCGGCAAGCCUAACACAUGCAAGUCGAACGGUAACAGGAAGCAGCUUGCUGCUUCGCUGACGAGUGGCGGACGGGUGAGUAAUGUCUGGGAAACUGCCUGAUGGAGGGGGAUAACUACUGGAAACGGUAGCUAAUACCGCAUAACGUCGCAAGACCAAGAGGGGGACCUUAGGGCCUCUUGCCAUCGGAUGUGCCCAGAUGGGAUUAGCUAGUAGGUGGGGUAACGGCUCACCUAGGCGACGAUCCCUAGCUGGUCUGAGAGGAUGACCAGCCACACUGGAACUGAGACACGGUCCAGACUCCUACGGGAGGCAGCAGUGGGGAAUAUUGCACAAUGGGCGCAAGCCUGAUGCAGCCAUGCCGCGUGUAUGAAGAAGGCCUUCGGGUUGUAAAGUACUUUCAGCGGGGAGGAAGGGAGUAAAGUUAAUACCUUUGCUCAUUGACGUUACCCGCAGAAGAAGCGCCGGCUAACUCCGUG